This 562-nucleotide long non-coding RNA is filed under the name Numida meleagris (helmeted guineafowl). Its description in RNAcentral is "lncRNA (ENSNMEG00000000674.1)". Lineage: Eukaryota; Metazoa; Chordata; Aves; Galliformes; Numididae. The record is from RNAcentral.
CGUGUCCACUGGAAUCAAGAUGGCCGCCACGAUCACGUGUCCACUGGAGCCAAGAUGGCCGCCAUGAUUCCUCCUGAUGAGAUCAAGAUGGCCGCCAAGUCCCAAGUCCACUCAGGCCACAAUGGCCGCCAUGAUUCCUUCCGACGCCACCGGAACCAAGAUGGCCGCCGCCAGACGGGAAGCCAUCCGGUUUAAAGAUGGCCGCCUCCACGUGACAUCACCAUUUUCCACACGGCCUCCAGUUCCGCCAUGACCACAUCCAAGAUGCAUGCCAGUAUCCAUCGCAGCUUCCGGUUCAAGAUGGCGGCCAGCCCCCAGCUUCCGGUUCGAUUGCCGCAAGCCGCCCCGUUUCCGGUUCAAAAUGGCCGCCAGCCCCCACAACUUCCGGUUCAAGAUGUCCGCCAUCUUGGGCUCACCCAGUGGCAUCCUCGACCUCGGCCCAGUCAGCCAUCUUGGGGCCAACGUGCCCGCCAUCUUAGGGUCGCCCAGUGGCCAUCUUGGCCCUUGUCGGCCAUCUUGGCUCCCUUGUCAGCCAUCUUGGCCGUGUCGGCCAUCUUGGCUC